This 351-nucleotide ribosomal RNA is filed under the name Bacillus cereus. Its description in RNAcentral is "bacterial SSU rRNA". It matches the Rfam family "Bacterial small subunit ribosomal RNA", at positions 1 to 339 of the family's 1533-position model. Lineage: Bacteria; Bacillati; Bacillota; Bacilli; Caryophanales; Bacillaceae. The record is from RNAcentral.
UUUAUUGGAGAGUUUGAUCCUGGCUCAGGAUGAACGCUGGCGGCGUGCCUAAUACAUGCAAGUCGAGCGAAUGGAUUGAGAGCUUGCUCUCAAGAAGUUAGCGGCGGACGGGUGAGUAACACGUGGGUAACCUGCCCAUAAGACUGGGAUAACUCCGGGAAACCGGGGCUAAUACCGGAUAACAUUUUGAACCGCAUGGUUCGAAAUUGAAAGGCGGCUUCGGCUGUCACUUAUGGAUGGACCCGCGUCGCAUUAGCUAGUUGGUGAGGUAACGGCUCACCAAGGCAACGAUGCGUAGCCGACCUGAGAGGGUGAUCGGCCACACUGGGACUGAGACACGGCCCAGACUCC